Molecule: ribosomal RNA, 742 nt
Filed under: Ornithobacterium rhinotracheale
Lineage: Bacteria; Pseudomonadati; Bacteroidota; Flavobacteriia; Flavobacteriales; Weeksellaceae
Description: bacterial SSU rRNA
Rfam family: Bacterial small subunit ribosomal RNA
Source: RNAcentral
GAAACCGGCGCACGGGUGCGUAACGCGUAUGCAACUUGCCCUUAUCAGGAGGAUAGCCCGGGGAAACUCGGAUUAAUACUCCAUAAGAUUUUGAUUGGCAUCGAUUAAAAUUGAAAGAUUUAUUGGAUAAGGAUAGGCAUGCGUCAGAUUAGUUAGUUGGUAGUGUAACGGACUACCAAGGCGAUGAUCUGUAGGGGGCCUGAGAGGGUGAACCCCCACACUGGUACUGAGACACGGACCAGACUCCUACGGGAGGCAGCAGUGAGGAAUAUUGGACAAUGGAGGGAACUCUGAUCCAGCCAUCCCGCGUGCAGGAAGACGGCCCUAUGGGUUGUAAACUGCUUUUGUAUGGGGAUAAAUCUACCUACGUGUAGGUAGUUGAAGGUACCAUACGAAUAAGCAUCGGCUAACUCCGUGCCAGCAGCCGCGGUAAUACGGAGGAUGCAAGCGUUAUCCGGAUUCAUUGGGUUUAAAGGGUCCGUAGGCGGGCUGAUAAGUCAGUGGUGAAAUUUUGUCGCUCAACGAUAAAACUGCCAUUGAUACUGUUAGUCUUGAGUGAUAUUGAAGUAGCUGGAAUGUGUAGUGUAGCGGUGAAAUGCAUAGAUAUUACACAGAACACCGAUUGCGAAGGCAGGUUACUAAGUAUUAACUGACGCUGAAGGACGAAAGCGUGGGGAGCGAACAGGAUUAGAUACCCUGGUAGUCCACGCAGUAAACGAUGCUUACUCGUUUUCGGGGAGUG